UACGUAGGGAGCAAGCGUUGUCCGGAAUCAUUGGGCGUAAAGCGCGCGUAGGUGGCUUCGUAAGUCCGUUGUGAAAGUCAAAGGCUCAACCUUUGAAAGCCGAUGGAUACUGUGAAGCUAGAGUACGGAAGAGGCGAGUGGAAUUCCUGGUGUAGCGGUGGAAUGCGCAGAUAUCAGGAGGAACACCAAUAGCGAAGGCAGCUCGCUGGGACGGUACUGACGCUGAGGCGCGAAAGCGUGGGGAGCGAACAGG
This 253-nucleotide ribosomal RNA is filed under the name uncultured bacterium. RNAcentral describes it as "partial 16S ribosomal RNA". It matches the Rfam family "Bacterial small subunit ribosomal RNA", at positions 524 to 776 of the family's 1533-position model. The record is from RNAcentral.